AGUGAACGCUGGCGGUAGGCCUAACACACGCAAGUCGAACGGCAGCACAGUAAGAGCUUGCUCUUACGGGUGGCGAGUGGCGGACGGGUGAGGAAUACAUCGGAAUCUACUUUUUCGUGGGGGAUAACGUAGGGAAACUUACGCUAAUACCGCAUACGACCUACGGGUGAAAGCAGGGGAUCUUCGGACCUUGCGCGAUUGAAUGAGCCGAUGUCGGAUUAGCUAGUUGGCGGGGUAAAGGCCCACCAAGGCGACGAUCCGUAGCUGGUCUGAGAGGAUGAUCAGCCACACUGGAACUGAGACACGGUCCAGACUCCUACGGGAGGCAGCAGUGGGGAAUAUUGGACAAUGGGCGCAAGCCUGAUCCAGCCAUACUGCGUGGGUGAAGAAGGCCUUCGGGUUGUAAAGCCCUUUUGUUGGGAAAGAAAAGCAGCAGGUUAAUACCCCGCUGUUCUGACGGUACCCAAAGAAUAAGCACCGGCUAACUUCGUG
This 492-nucleotide ribosomal RNA is filed under the name uncultured bacterium. RNAcentral describes it as "partial 16S ribosomal RNA". It matches the Rfam family "Bacterial small subunit ribosomal RNA", at positions 29 to 507 of the family's 1533-position model. The record is from RNAcentral.